GACGAACGCUGGCGGCGUGCUUAACACAUGCAAGUCGAACGUGAUUUUUGUGGAAAUUCUUUCGGGAAUGGAAAUGAAAUGAAAGUGGCGAACGGGUGAGUAACACGUGAGCAACCUACCUUACACAGGGGGAUAGCCAUUGGAAACGACGAUUAAUACCGCAUGAGACCACAGAAUCGCAUGAUAUAGGGGUCAAAGAUUUAUCGGUGUAAGAAGGGCUCGCGUCUGAUUAGCUAGUUGGAAGGGUAAAGGCCUACCAAGGCGACGAUCAGUAGCCGGUCUGAGAGGAUGAACGGCCACAUUGGAACUGAGACACGGUCCAAACUCCUACGGGAGGCAGCAGUGGGGAAUAUUGCACAAUGGGGGGAACCCUGAUGCAGCGACGCCGCGUGAGCGAAGAAGGUUUUCGAAUCGUAAAGCUCUGUCCUAUGAGAAGAUAAUGACGGUAUCAUAGGAGGAAGCCCCGGCUAAAUACGUG
RNAcentral lists this ribosomal RNA (478 nucleotides) under uncultured bacterium. RNAcentral describes it as "partial 16S ribosomal RNA". It matches the Rfam family "Bacterial small subunit ribosomal RNA", at positions 28 to 507 of the family's 1533-position model. The record is from RNAcentral.